RNAcentral lists this long non-coding RNA (3068 nucleotides) under Pan troglodytes (chimpanzee). RNAcentral's name for it is "long non-coding RNA NONPTRT007870". The record is from RNAcentral. Lineage: Eukaryota; Metazoa; Chordata; Mammalia; Primates; Hominidae.
UCUGCGUCGGGUUCCGUUGGAGUGCGUUCGGUGCGCCGUGGGUCCGCGCUGCUUCCACACAACUUCCUGUUAGAGUUUCUCUCCUGUCACAAUGGCAUGAUCUCGGCUCACUGCGACCUCUGCUUCCUGGGUUCAAGGAUUCUCCUGCCUCAGCCUCCCAAGUAGCUGGGAUUACAGGUGCGUGCCAAUAUACCCGGCUAAUUUUUUUGUAUUUUUGGUAGAGACUGGGCUUCACCAUGUUGGUCAGGCUGGUCUGGAACUCCUGGCCUCAAGUGAUCUGCCUGCCUCGGCUUCCCAAAGUGCUGGGAUAACAGGCAUGAGCCACCCGGCGCCCGGGCUUAAUGUUUGUUUAUAUAGGUUAUUAAGAAUCAGUUUGUGACAGGCUAUUAGUAUUGUUACUUCUCUUUGUUACUGUCGAUUUUAACAACAAUUUAUGUGUGUACUAUUACCUUUAAAGUAAAACUUAUUUUUAAACUAAGAAUGCUUUUCGUUCUUAAAGUUCUGGGACAUUUAAAUAAGUUUCGUGUCUUUAUUAACUUGUUCCCACAAUCAUAAAUAUUUUAUAACCAAAAGUGCUCAACCCCCUAAAUAUAUAAUCCAACAAAUUUAACGUGUGUGUGUGUGUGAGAGAGACAGAGAGAGAGAGAGAGAGAGAGGGUCUCACUCUUUCGCCCAGGCUGGAGUGCAGUGGUGCGAUCAUGGCUGGCUCAUUGCAGCCUCAAACUUCUGGACUCAAGCAAUCCUCCCACUUCAGCCUCCUGGGUAGCUGGGACUACAGGUACGUGCAAGCAUGCCAUCUAAUUUUUUUUUUUUUUUUUUUUUUGUAGACAUAAGGGUCUUGCUAUUUGUCUCCUGAGAGCUCUCCAUGCUCUCAAUGUGAAGAAUCUGCAAAAGCAAACACCUGGGGCUGAAAAAUAAAAUAGAAAAAAUUUUAUUUCUCAGCCUCCGUAAGAUUGUAUGUCCAAACAAAAGAAAAUCUUAAAAAUCUCCAAAAAUAUUGGUGAGAAAAAAGCUUUGGCCCUCAUAUGAAGAAGAUAAAAACUUGUUCCAUUUUCCAGAUACACAGUUAUAAUACAAAUAUAAAAUGGGGCAAAGACAAAAACCAAGUCUCCUAUAUAAACUAGUGAAUUUUGUAUUAUUGUAAUAACAUUAGUCAGGGUUCUCCAGAAAGGCAGAAUCAAUAGGAUAUAUGUAGAUAGAUAGAUGAGAGAAGACUCAUUAGGGGAAUUGGUUCACAUAAUUAUGGAGGCUGAGAAGUUACACAAUAGCCUGUCUCCAAGUUGGAGAACCAGGAAAGUUGGCAGCAUGGCUCACUCCAGAUAUAAAGGACUCAGAAUCAGGGAAGCCAAUGGUGUAACUCUGAUUCUGAGGCCAAAGCUCUGAGACCCUGACGUUCUGAUGUCAAGGGCAGGAGAAGAAGGAUGUUUCCAUUUCAGAAGGAGAUAAUUCACCUUUCCUCUUCCUUGUUGUUCUAUCUGGGCUCUCAACCAAUUGGAUGGUGCCUGUAUUCAUCCAUUUUUAUACAGCGAUGAAGAAAUACCUGAGUCUGAGCAAUUUAUAAAGAACAAAGAGGUUUAAUGGGCUGACAGUUCCACAUGGCUGCAGGGGCCUCACGAUCAUGGCAGAAGCGGAAGCAAAGAUGUCCUUCUUCACAUGGCAGCAACAAGAAGAAGUGCUGAGCCAAAGGGGAAAAGCCCCUUAUAAAACCAUCGGAUCAUGAGAACUCACUCACUGCCAUGAGAACAGAAUGGCAGUAACCACCACCAUGAUUCAAUCACCUCCCACCGGGUCCCUCCCAUGACAUGUAGGGAUUAUAGGAACUACAAUUCAAGAUGAGAUCUGGGUGGGGACACAGGCAAACCCCAUCAGUUCCCAUCCACACUAGGUCGGGGUUAUCUCAGUGUCUUCCAGAAACACCCUCACAGAUAUGCCCAGAAAUUGUGUUUGACCAGCUGUGUGUGUCCCUUAAUCCAGUCCAGUAGAUGUCUAGAAUUAACCAUCGGAAUAUUUAUGCCUGAUUCAUGGCUGAAAUCGUGUUUGACCAGCUAUGUGUGUCUCUUAAUUCAGUCAAGUAGAUGUCCAAUAUUAACCAUCAGAAUAUUUAUGCCUGAUUCAUGGCUGAAAUUUCAGGAUGAAAGCUAUGAAAUCUCUAUUUGUGUUUGUAUAUCUAUUAAUGUAUGUUAUGUACAUGUGAUAUUUUCUUAACUCCGGAUACCACUGCAAAAUUCAUUUAUAAAAUCCUCUAAAAGUGCUCUAUUCCAACUUGGCUUGGAAAAAAAUAACCAUUUAUAAAUAAAUAUUCACCAAACUCCUAGAAACAUAGUAACUGAUCAAAUGUCUCUUAAGUUACCAUGAUUUGGAUAAAACUUAGUUAAAUGAGAUUAAUAUAAUAUUUUUGGUGUAAUAAAACAACUAUGUCUUCAAAGUUAUCACUAUUGAAUAUAAAACAAACAUAAAUUCCUAUUCUGCUUGAGUUCUAGUCAAAUAAGCUAAUAUUAUACUUACAGAAAUGUAAAAUCUUAAAGCUUAUAGAUUUGGUUCUAAUUAAGUUGUCAUUCUUAUGAAAAACAUUAUUUUUUAUGGUGAAAAGAUACACAUAUAUUUAGAGUUAGCCAGCUGGGGUCAGUUUAGAUGAUCCCAAUUUUGUUGCAACAUCCAAAGCUUCAUAAUCAGGAGCCAGUUGAACAUAUGCCUUCUUCUCUUUAUCAGGACAAAUCAGGGUGGUGACCUUGGCCACAUCACUGUCAUAGAGCUUCUUCACGGUCUGUUUGAUAUGGUGCUUGUUGGCUUUAACAUCCACAAAGAACACAAGCAUGUUGUUUUCUUGUAUCUUCUUCCAGCCGACUCAGUGGUCAGUGGAAACUUGAUAGCAUAGUGGUCAAGCUUGUUUCUCCUGGGGGUGCUCUUCCGAGGAUAUUUGGGCUGCCUCCGGAGUCGCAGUGUCUUGGGCCACCUGAAGGUGAGUGAUAUGCAGAUCUUCUUUUUUGCGUGUGGCUGUGGACACCUUUCAACACUGCCUUCUUGGCCUUUAAAGCCUUCACUUUGGCUUCGGCUGUAGGAGGAGCAGG